Molecule: ribosomal RNA, 379 nt
Filed under: Homalosilpha cf. javanica HomaJava01
Lineage: Eukaryota; Metazoa; Arthropoda; Insecta; Blattodea; Blattidae
Also listed under: 1 other name
Description: partial large subunit ribosomal RNA
Source: RNAcentral
CUUUUCUUGUAUAAAUAUGAAAUAUGACCUGCCCACUGAUUAAUUUUGAAGGGCCGCGGUAUUUUGACCGUGCAAAGGUAGCAUAAUCAUUAGUCUUUUAAUUGUGGACUGGUAUGAAUGGUUGGACGAGGAAUAAUCUGUUUCUUAUUAUUUUUUUUUGAAUUUAAUUUUUGAGUUAGAAAGCUUAAAUUUAUUUAUGGGACGAGAAGACCCUAUAGAGUUUUAUAUUUUAUAUACAUAUUUUGUUUGAUUAAAAAUUUAUUUGGUAUUUAAUUUGUUUUGUUGGGGUGAUAGAAAGAAUUAAUUAACUCUUUUUUAUAUUAAUACAUUUAUUUAUGAUAAGUUGAUCCAUUCUUAUUGAUUAUAAGAUCAAAUUACC